This 232-nucleotide unclassified non-coding RNA is filed under the name Chytridiomycota sp. RNAcentral describes it as "partial contains small subunit ribosomal RNA, internal transcribed spacer 1, and 5.8S ribosomal RNA". The stretch from base 1 to 47 matches the Rfam family "Eukaryotic small subunit ribosomal RNA", at positions 1785 to 1831 of the family's 1831-position model. The record is from RNAcentral. Lineage: Eukaryota; Fungi; Chytridiomycota.
AAAGUCGUAACAAGGUAACCGUAGGUGAACCUGCGGUUGGAUCAUUACUGAUUUCCGCUGCUGCCGAGUUGAUUCGCAAGAGUCCUUGGUACAGCGAACUUACCCCUGUGCACCAUAAUGUUUUUUGGUCUCUGUCGCUUGAUGGGACCAACAUCUGAAGAAACCAUUAGAAUUUGUCUUAUGCUUUAUGAGUAAUUAUAAACAACUUUUGACAACGGAUCUCUUGGCUCUC